This 590-nucleotide long non-coding RNA is filed under the name Eutrema salsugineum. RNAcentral's name for it is "long non-coding RNA (ESAL_LNC001251)". Lineage: Eukaryota; Viridiplantae; Streptophyta; Magnoliopsida; Brassicales; Brassicaceae. The record is from RNAcentral.
GAAAAAAACAAAUGUGUAUCUACUUCGUAACAUACGACAUACUCAACAUACAAAAUAAGAAGACAAUGGAACUCAGCAUACAAAAUAAGAAGACAAUGGAACAUAAAGAAUAGUCUUGAUCUAGUCCUCAUCAAUCUUAGCCACUUGAUUGACAACACGAUUACAGAUGCUCGUGAGGCACUAGAUCUACAUGUCUUAGGAUCUCUGUGAAGUUUCAGGUCGAUCACAACUCACAAGACUGGUCUAACAUGUGCACUAGGCCGAACAGUCCUAGUAAAUCUAACUUAACUCCACAAGAUGGAACAUGGACAUAUUUCACAGGUAGUAAACAUCCUUACCAAAUAUCAACCUGAUCAGAUCACUACUAAAUCUUCAAAUCGAUUUCUCCUCUCAUUUGUUGCUGAUUCGCACUGCACAGAUUACGCAUAACUUUCAUCUCACAACUCUGAAUCACAAUCCGCUUUCAUAGUUGGAUAUAUUAGAGUCAGGAAUGUACUCACCAUGUUUCAGAUUGUUUGGAUCUGGUUCAGUGGUUUGCGUGUUCGUUCCAUAUUUCUACAAGAAUGAGUCUGAUCUGUCUUCUUUUUGCU